AUCUUAAAAGUUCCUAACCUACUCAUAUUCCCACAUAUUCCUUCAUGAAAUCAGACGAGAUAAAAUAUAAAAUUCUAGGGAUCUAAAGUAGAAUUCAGAUAUGAACUUUUCAAAGAAAUGCAUUCCUCCCGUUCUUCGAGCAGUAAUUUAAAAAUUUAUAGAGAGAAUUAUCCCCUCAACCGCUACAUACCUUUGAUGUCAACCAAAAGGACUGCCACGAGGUAAAAUCCAAAGGUCUUUAAGUUUUUCUGUCUUUAAAGUGUAGAAGAUAAAAUAGUUUCGAAUACCUAACGAGAUAUUAAAGUAAUUUUCUUAAAAGUUAGGUUUUUUUUACUUAUUUGUGUUUGAAUCGAGUUUUUCUAUUUGUGUCUAUGGUUUGUGUGUUUUUCUGUAUAUUUACUUAUAUAUGUCUCCGCAAACGAAAUGCUUUGUUGUUUUAAUUUUUAUUCAAAGAAAUUUCAGUACAAAACUUCAUGGAAGAAAAGUUCUCUGGAAUACUUUUUUUUGGAGUACUUUUUUAGAUUUUUUUUGGCUCGCAAGACUACUUAAAAUAAGAUGCAAUUUUUCUGAAAAAAAUAAAAAAGAAAGCCGAUGCAUGUGAUUUUCGUCUCUAAUUACAUACUUAUAUAUAUUUUAUCAAUAUCAUCUGUCUAUUGUAAGUAUCUUAUUGGACCAUUGGCCAAAAGUUAACAUUAAUAUAUUGAUUAAUAUAUUGACCACUUAACAUGGACCAUUGGCCAAAAGUUAAGAAACAAUAGUCAUAAUCGUGUUAGAUUUGCUUGUAGUUUGAAAACAAAGAGUUCUUCACAUUAAUAUAUUGAUAGUAAACUCAUUUUCUUGUUACGGGUUAGACGUGUACUUGGAUCAUGUAUUAAAUGAGCUUUAUCAUUUAAAAAUAAGAUUUUAAUAUGACAUGGGAUGUUAAAUAUGUAUUUGUUUUUUUUUGAGUCUAAAUGCAAUUGUUGGGUAAUUGUUUUGUCUUAAGUAAAACAUAAGUGACUUUGGCACCAUAUUUCAAUAACUUGUGACUACCCAAGAAAUUGACUCCAACAUUACAUAGCGGCAAUACACCUCUGUCCCUCAUAUUUUUUUAUUCUAAAUAGAUCCAAAAUGAGAUUUUCUAAAUGCAAAAACUUUAACUAUUUUACAACAAUUUUUGCUAUUAUACUGUGCAAAGUAUCAUUAACUUUUAUAAUACAAAAGUUAUAAAGUUAGUUUAAAUAAAUUAGUUGUUUAAAUAAAUCUAACUCUUAGUUUAAAAAAUGCAGCUCAUCACUGGUAUGUAUAGUAUUUGUUUAAAAUUUUUAUUUUAUUUUAAAGCAAAAAUUGUGUAGGGGUAAAAUUGGGGGCAAAAGUUUUCCGCGGUUUCUCAAUGAGAGAACGAAGGGGAAGCACGGCUCGAUGUAAUUAUGAUCGAGGCCAAGAACCCCUUGUAUCGAGCCCAGGAAGAAUGAACGAUGUAUCUGAGAUCGGACACGGCAAAGCGACGUACCCCGAACCAAGUAUGACUUCUGGACCUCGGGAGACGCGGUAAACAGUUAUGCAUGACAGAUAUGGGGGCAUAAUAUUUGCCCUCAGCCAGAUUUUACGGCACGAAUCCAGUUCGGUUUUAAUUAUAGAUCAACAAUUACCGAUUUUUUUUUUUUUAAUCUUUUUUAGACUUGUGCUGGGACUGAAAUUCCCCUACUAUAUAAAGGGGAAUUUUUUCUUUAGUUUGACACAUUAUAACCCGCAUUUCAAAGUAAUAAAAGUUUGCUUUUAUCUUCUAAAUAUUGUUCAAGGCAGUACUCAUUUGUUCUUCUCUUCACUCGCGACCGAGCUUGUACCGAGGGUCCAAUCGAGGACGAGUUUCACUGUUCAAUCUAAGAUCAGGCUUGG
Molecule: long non-coding RNA, 1878 nt
Filed under: Nicotiana tabacum (common tobacco)
Lineage: Eukaryota; Viridiplantae; Streptophyta; Magnoliopsida; Solanales; Solanaceae
Description: long non-coding RNA (NTAB_LNC012211)
Source: RNAcentral